AUGAACGCUAGCUACAGGCUUCACACAUGCCAGUCGAGGGGAAACGAUGAGAGAGCUUGCUCUCUUAGUCGUCGACCGGCGCACGGGUGAGUAACGCGUAUCCAACCUGCCUCUGACCAAGGGAUAACCCGUCGAAAGUCGGACUAAUACCUUAUGCAGUCGUCGGAAGUCAUCUGAUGACGACGAAAGAUUUCAUCGGUGAGAGAUGGGGAUGCGUCUGAUUAGCUUGUUGGCGGGGUAACGGCCCACCAAGGCGACGAUCAGUAGGGGUUCUGAGAGGAAGGUCCCCCACAUUGGAACUGAGACACGGUCCAAACUCCUACGGGAGGCAGCAGUGAGGAAUAUUGGUCAAUGGGCGUAAGCCUGAACCAGCCAAGUAGCGUGCAGGAUGACGGCCCUAUGGGUUGUAAACUGCUUUUAUGCGGGGAUAAAGUGAGGGACGUGUCCUUCAUUGCAGGUACCGCAUGAAUAAGGACCGGCUAAUUCCGUG
Molecule: ribosomal RNA, 490 nt
Filed under: uncultured bacterium
Lineage: Bacteria
Description: partial 16S ribosomal RNA
Rfam family: Bacterial small subunit ribosomal RNA
Source: RNAcentral